AUAAAUGGAGGAGGGAGGGAAGGUGGAGACAGUUUGAUUAGAAUGUGGUCACAGGUAGUGCUCCUCGGUUCCUUGGCGCUGGUCUCGGUCCACGCCCAAGCCCACCCUGGCCCCGCCCAUCCUGGUCCCGCCCAUCCCGGUCCCGCCCAUCCAGGUCCCGCCCACGCCUUCCCCGCCCAUGUCAGCCCGUCACACCCACAACUAGCAGCCCACGUCAGUCCACACGCCCCCAACCAAGGAGCCCACGCCUUCCCCGCCCAUGUCAGCCCGUCCCACCCACACCUGGCCGCCCAUGUCAGUCCACACGCUCCCAACCAAGGAGCCCACGCCUUCCCCGCCCAUGUCAGCCCGUCCCACCCACACCUAGCCGCCCAUGUCAGCCCACACGCCCCUAAUCAAGCCGCCCACGCCUUCCCCGCCCACGUGAGCCCGUCUUUCCCAAACAUCGCCGCCCAUAUCAGCCCACACGCCCCUCGCCAGGCCGCUCAUCCCCUCCCCGUGGGCGUGGACCCCUCCUGCGCAGGGAAAUAUCCUUUCUGUGAUUGAGAAGGAAGGAAUGCGAAGAAUACAGAAGAGAAGGAGGAGAGGAGGAGAAUAUGAAGGAAAAAAGUGAGAAAGAAGACAAGGGGGAACGAUAAUAAUUCUGUGGAUUGCAAAGGGAAUGUGGAAGGGGUGGAUGGAGAGAGAGGAGAGGAAAAGGAGGCAGGAAGGGAGGAAGGGGACGAAGGAAAAAGAAAGGGAAGAUGAAAGCGAGUCGCGAUAAAGAUGAAGAGCAGAUUAAUUGGCAGAUGUGAAAAGCCAAGGAAGGACGAAAGAGGAAAUGAGAGAGAGAGAGAGAGAGAGAGAGAGAGAGAGAGAGAGAGAGAGAGAGAGAGAGAGAGAGAGAGAGAGAGAGAAUAUAUAUAUAUAUAUAUAUAUAUAUAUAUAUAUAUAUAUAUAUAUAUAUAUAUAUAUAUAUAUAUAUAUAUAUAUAUAUAUAUAUAUAUAUAAUGGAAAAGACAAUAAAAUCAUUUACUAUCAGAAACAAAAAGAAGAAAAAAAGAGAAGAAAGGAAGAAAUAAAGACAGAAAGAAGAAGAAAACAAACAAAAUUAAAGAAAAGAAAAACAAAAAAGAUGUGAACAAGAAACAGAAAAAAAGAAAAGAAAUUGAAAAAGAAAUCCACUGACGAAUAUUCUCCCAAAUUUGUAAAUAUGACGAAAACAAAAACAAAAACAAAUGAAUCAAGUCAAUGUAAAUACGAAAAAAUUAAAUAAAUAAAGUUCAUAAAGACAAAAUAAAACUAUAACAACUUUA
This is a long non-coding RNA of Scylla paramamosain (green mud crab), 1295 nucleotides long. RefSeq lists it as uncharacterized. Lineage: Eukaryota; Metazoa; Arthropoda; Malacostraca; Decapoda; Portunidae. The transcript has 2 exons. The record is from RefSeq and is a predicted model, not a curated record.